UGAGGAAUAUUGGGCAAUGCCCGCAAGGGUGACCCAGCAACGCCGCGUGGAGGAUGAGUGUCGUAAGAUUGUAAACUCCUGUUAGAGGGGAAGAAUAGUACCGGUUGGACCGGUAUAUGACUGUACCCUCAGAGAAAGCCCCGGCUAACUACGUGUCAGCAGCCGCGGUAAUACGUAGGGGGCAAGCGUUGUCCGGAUUUACUGGGUGUAAAGGGCGCGCAGGCGGGAUAAAAAGUCAGUGGUGAAAUCCUACAGCUUAACUGUAGAACUGCCUUUGAUACUUUUAUUCUUGAGUUCGGGAGAGAGAGACGGAAUUCCAGGUGUAGUGGUGAAAUACGUAGAUAUCUGGAAGAACACCAGUUGCGAAGGCGGUCUCUUGGUCCGACACUGACGCUGAGGCGCGAAAGCGUGGGGAGCAAACA
This 422-nucleotide ribosomal RNA is filed under the name uncultured bacterium. Its description in RNAcentral is "bacterial SSU rRNA". It matches the Rfam family "Bacterial small subunit ribosomal RNA", at positions 355 to 774 of the family's 1533-position model. The record is from RNAcentral.